RNAcentral lists this signal recognition particle RNA (302 nucleotides) under Trifolium pratense (red clover). RNAcentral's name for it is "SRP RNA Plant_SRP". It matches the Rfam family "Plant signal recognition particle RNA". Lineage: Eukaryota; Viridiplantae; Streptophyta; Magnoliopsida; Fabales; Fabaceae. The record is from RNAcentral.
GCCGAGCUGAGUAGCGCCAGCUUGUGACCCAAGUGGGGGCACAAAGGUGAUGGAACAUGACUUUGGCUUAACAGGUUGGACUGGUGUGUGCACCAUGCUGGCUUGCCCGCUCCAAGUUGAGAGUUGAGCUAUGGGACUUGAGCAAAGGCAUGAGUCUUGUGGAUCUUAGACAGGAGGGUACUGCGUGAGGCUGGUUUCACAGAGCAGCGAACACCUCCUACUCCUAACAGUGGAGGGAUUACAGGCUGCUGCACUUCCAGCCCACUACACCUGGUGAGCCUAGCCCUUGAACCAUCAUUUUU